Molecule: ribosomal RNA, 114 nt
Filed under: Acanthosepion pharaonis
Lineage: Eukaryota; Metazoa; Mollusca; Cephalopoda; Sepiida; Sepiidae
Source: RNAcentral
UUACGGUCAAAUCACGCUGAAACACCGGUUCUCGUACGAUCACCGAAGUUAAGCAGCGUAGAGCCAGGUCAGUACUUAGAUGGGGGACCGCUUGGGAACACCUGGUACUGCAAG